RNAcentral lists this ribosomal RNA (502 nucleotides) under uncultured bacterium. Its description in RNAcentral is "partial 16S ribosomal RNA". It matches the Rfam family "Bacterial small subunit ribosomal RNA", at positions 29 to 507 of the family's 1533-position model. The record is from RNAcentral.
AGCGAACGCUGGCGGCGUGCCUAACACAUGCAAGUCGAACGUGAAAGGGAGCAAUCCCACGUAAAGUGGCGUACGGGUGAGUAACACGUAGGUAAUCUACCCCAGAAUCUGGAAUAACCGGCCGAAAGGCUGGCUAAUACUGGAUAGAGCGACGGAAUCCGUAAUUGGGUUUUUCGGGAAAGGGAGCCUGUCACAAGGCCUUCGUUCUGGGAUGUGCCUGCGUCCCUUCAGCUAGUUGGUGAGGUAAAAGCUUACCAAGGCAAGGACGGGUAGCUGGUCGGAGAGGACGAGCAGCCACACUGGAACUGAAACACGGUCCAGACGCCUACGGGAGGCAGCAGGGGGGAAUCUUGCGCAAUGGACGAAAGUCUGACGCAGCAACGCCGCGUGAGUGAAGAAGGCCUUCGGGUUGUAAAGCUCUGUCGAGUGGGACGAAAAUGCUUGGAGUUCACAGCUCCAGGAACUGACGGUACCACUAAAGGAAGCACCGGCUAACUCCGUG